AUUGUACGCUGGCAGCAUGCCUUACACAUGCAAGUCGAACGGCAGCACGGGAGCAAUCCUGGUGGCGAGUGGCGAACGGGUGAGUAAAGUAUCGGAACGUGCCCAGUCGUGGGGGAUAACGUAGCGAAAGUUACGCUAAUACCGCAUACGAUCUAUGGAUGAAAGCGGGGGAUCGCAAGACCUCGCGCGAUUGGAGCGGCCGAUAUCAGAUUAGGUAGUUGGUGGGGUAAAGGCUCACCAAGCCGACGAUCUGUAGCUGGUCUGAGGGGACGACCAGCCACACUGGGACUGAGACACGGCCCAGACUCCUACGGGAGGCAGCAGUGGGGAAUUUUGGACAAUGGGCGAAAGCCUGAUCCAGCCAUGCCGCGUGCAGGAUGAAGGCCUUCGGGUUGUAAACUGCUUUUGUACGGAACGAAAAGGUUUGGCCUAAUAAGCUGAGCUCAUGACGGUACCGUAAGAAUAAGCACCGGCUAACUACGUGCCAGCCGCCGCGGUAA
This 500-nucleotide ribosomal RNA is filed under the name uncultured bacterium. RNAcentral describes it as "partial 16S ribosomal RNA". It matches the Rfam family "Bacterial small subunit ribosomal RNA", at positions 30 to 523 of the family's 1533-position model. The record is from RNAcentral.